This 250-nucleotide ribosomal RNA is filed under the name uncultured bacterium. Its description in RNAcentral is "partial 16S ribosomal RNA". It matches the Rfam family "Bacterial small subunit ribosomal RNA", at positions 29 to 280 of the family's 1533-position model. The record is from RNAcentral.
ACGAACGCUGGCGGCGUGCUUAACACAUGCAAGUCGAGCGGUAAGGCCCUUUCGGGGGUACACGAGCGGCGAACGGGUGAGUAACACGUGGGUGACCUGCCCUCAGCUCUGGGAUAAGCCUGGGAAACCGGGUCUAAUACUGGAUAUGACUCCAUGACGCAUGUUGUGGGGUGGAAAGCCUUGUGCGGCUGAGGAUGGGCCCGCGGCCUAUCAGCUUGUUGGUGGGGUGANGGCCUACCAAGGCGACGAC